AACGAACGCUGGCGGCAUGCCUAACACAUGCAAGUCGAACGAGACCUUCGGGUCUAGUGGCGCACGGGUGCGUAACGCGUGGGAACCUGCCCUUAGGUUCGGAAUAACUCCCCGAAAGGGGUGCUAAUACCGGAUAAUGUCUUCGGACCAAAGAUUUAUCGCCUUUGGAUGGGCCCGCGUUGGAUUAGCUAGUUGGUAGGGUAAAAGCCUACCAAGGCGACGAUCCAUAGCUGGUCUGAGAGGAUGAUCAGCCACACUGGGACUGAGACACGGCCCAGACUCCUACGGGAGGCAGCAGUGGGGAAGAUUGGACAAUGGGCGAAAGCCUGAUCCAGCAAUGCCGCGGGAGUGAUGAAGGCCUUAGGGUUGUAAAGCUCUUUUACCCGGGAUGAUAAUGACAGUACCGGGAGAAUAAGCUCCGGCUAACUCCGU
RNAcentral lists this ribosomal RNA (432 nucleotides) under uncultured bacterium. RNAcentral's name for it is "partial 16S ribosomal RNA". It matches the Rfam family "Bacterial small subunit ribosomal RNA", at positions 29 to 506 of the family's 1533-position model. The record is from RNAcentral.